GCAAUGGACUAAUGGACUGCAAC
Molecule: microRNA, 23 nt
Filed under: Eptesicus fuscus (big brown bat)
Lineage: Eukaryota; Metazoa; Chordata; Mammalia; Chiroptera; Vespertilionidae
Description: efu-miR-9247
Source: miRBase by way of RNAcentral